GUGCCAGCCGCCGCGGUAAUACGUAGGUGGCAAGCGUUGUCCGGAAUUAUUGGGCGUAAAGCGCACGCAGGCGGUCCUUUAAGUCUGAUGUGAAAGCCCACGGCUCAACCGUGGAGGGUCAUUGGAAACUGGGGGACUUGAGUGCAGAAGAGGAAAGCGGAAAUCCACGUGUAGCGGUGGAAUGCGUAGAGAUGUGGAGGAACACCAGUGGCGAAGGCGGCUUUCUGGUCUGUAACUGACGCUGAGGUGCGAAAGCGUGGGGAGCAAACAGGAUUAGAUA
RNAcentral lists this ribosomal RNA (280 nucleotides) under uncultured Bacillus sp. Its description in RNAcentral is "partial 16S ribosomal RNA". It matches the Rfam family "Bacterial small subunit ribosomal RNA", at positions 505 to 784 of the family's 1533-position model. The record is from RNAcentral. Lineage: Bacteria; Bacillati; Bacillota; Bacilli; Caryophanales; Bacillaceae.